This is a long non-coding RNA of Oryctolagus cuniculus (rabbit), 1811 nucleotides long. NCBI's taxonomy places the organism in Eukaryota, Metazoa, Chordata, Mammalia, Lagomorpha, Leporidae. The record is from Ensembl.
CUCUAGAAGAUGCAUUUUUCUUAAAUACUCUAAAUUUUCCUAAAGAAUGGAUACUUGGAAUGUUUUAGAAAAAUGCACUCAUUUGGCGAUUUCCACACGAUCAGAUAAAGGUGGUGGGAGUGUGGGUGGGGUGAGGAAGGUACUGAGAGGUGCUCCUGUGUAAAGAGUCAGUCAGGGCCUGGUGAGUCAGGGGACCAGCCACCAUUGCAAGAAGUUAGGAGAGCCAAGAGAAUGCCGUGCGCCCACUGGGACUGAAAGGUCGGAAGACUGAAGGAGGAGAAAUCUCAGACAGAAUUUGUUUGAGGCCAUGGAGAAUUCUUUACAGGAUGCCAGUCAUUUAUAUUUGAACUUGGUAAUUGCUUCCCAUUCCAAACAUUCAAACUCUAUGUCCAAAUCCAAUCCACCUUCAAUUCUUAAGUGCUUAUUUUUUAACAGAACUGAUUAAAGAGUCUUUAGACGUUAAAUCCCAUUGCUUUCGUCUCUCACCAAGUGUUAGUGAAAUCUCCUUUUUGUCAUUGUAAUGAGAGAUAAAUUUUAGUUUAUAUUGUACUGAGAAAACAAAAGGCUUCUGCCAUUUGUGCACUGCAGAAAUACAUCUUCUGUCGGUGCUUAGACCUCCCACCUCUCCUCCUCCCCUGCACACACUAAAGAAGGGUGAAAAAAAAAACCCCACACAUAUACUCUGAUACCACUUAGGGGAAAAAGCACACAUGCACAGGUCUUGUUAUUAAGUGCAGUAUCUGUAGCUCAACUAAAGUACUUUUUGAGUAACAUUUCUCCGAGCCACACCGGAUGGGGAAUGUGAAAACUGCUACAGAUGCUGUUCAGCCGGCAGUUGCGGCAGCACUGGCCGGUGGCUGGGAACACCAGUCUCUGACCUCUCCAUCGCUUGCUUUUUUGACAAGUGACUGGGGGGGGGGGGAGUCCUUAGACUUUGCACAUUCCAUCCCACAUAGACCUUUUUGCCUCUGCUUCUGUUUCCAAGGCUAGGGCACAGAGAGCUGUUGUUCUCAGGGCUUUGAAAUCCAUGCUUCUGGGAUGUGACAGAUUCACGUCACCCUUUACAGGCAGGCGUACACCCCAGGGUGCGGACCUGAAGAGGCUGUGAGAACCUGUUGGCUGAGGGUGUCUGGACAUCCCCUACUCCCAGCACAGGAGCUCCCCUCUCCCUGCUUCCCCGCCCUUUCUCCAAGUCAUUUAAAUGCAGAAUGGCAGGAAUCCUUGGAGGUGGAUGUGUGCACAAGAUGAGCAGGUGCAGAGACCUGAUUCAGAUGAGAAGUUCAAACAUGACUUUCUAAAAGUGUGUUCUCAUUUACUGUUUUUUUUUUUUUUUGAGGGCAGUCUUUCCAAUCUUUGAUAACCUGCAUGACUCCCUGCCAACAGAUCAUUCAGAAAACAUGCCCUAGCAAUUUUGAUCACAGGUAGUUUGAAAUCUAUGGAAAUAAUGAGAGUUCGAAGAGGUGUUUAAAAAAACGUAAAUUGCGAGCUAUAUGAUAAGCUGGCUCACCUGCUGUUUCUAAGUGGUUAGGUUUUCAUUCCUCUGGGAAAAAAUAAGUAAAAACAAUCCAAUUUUAUUUCUUUUUUUUUUGUAAAUCUUAUAGUUAUUUUGAUACUUAAGAAAUCGGAAAGUAAAUAGAUAGAUUAUUUCAAAUGUCAUAGCAGCACUUUGGUGCCUGGUAGGGGCUUAAAUUUUACAGAAAUACAUAUUUGAUAAUAGUACCAAACUACGGAGAUCAUAGACUAUUUAAAGAACAAGUGAAUUUAGAUUAAUAUAAGUAGAACUUUGAAGAGUAAAAUACAACCAGCAAAUA